Long non-coding RNA from Maniola jurtina (meadow brown), 448 nucleotides. RefSeq lists it as uncharacterized. Lineage: Eukaryota; Metazoa; Arthropoda; Insecta; Lepidoptera; Nymphalidae. The record is from RefSeq and is a predicted model, not a curated record. The transcript is spliced from 3 exons.
UUUCAGCUAUAUUCUAGAAAAAUAUUGUGAUAGGUACGUUGAAAAUUCAGUUCACUGCAGUUUAAAUUAAAAGAAACUGCGUCGAAUAGUUUGAGUCUAUUGUACUCGUAUGAGCAGUACGCCGUAUAUUUAAAAAAAAGUGUUUUGUUGCAACUUAACUUACUAAAUUUUAGUGCUAAUGUUUAGCACUAAAAUCUUUAUUUAGAUUCGUGGACUCUGAUAGAGCAAAAUUAUAUACAAAAAAAUCAUCUUUCUACACGGCGCCCUUUUUUAGUCUUUUUUUCAACGAAACUGAUGAAAACAGGCAGAGUAGCGCUUGAGGCUUGACCUCGCGCAUGAGCUAUGCCUGAUUGGCGGUUAGAAAUCCGACCAUAAUCGGACACUGCAACCAUAGAGUAGGACUGCAACCAUGGUAGGUUGGAUCUUUUCCGGGCUCAAGAAUUUACAU